ACCUUGGGAGGUUAAUACCAGCCUGGAGUGGCCAGUAUUAAUUUUUAAAAUCCUUGUGGGCCCCCACCUUCUGCACUCGAAGUGCCAGAGUGGGGAAACAGCCUUGACACACGGGGACUGUACUCCUUCCAUUUGCUCACCCUUUGUCUGUGUAGUUUGCAAGCUCUUUGGGGCAGGAACUCUUUCCACGUGUGUUGGUACAGCACUUAGGGUGUGUGGGGGGCCAUUCCACACCCCAGUGUAAUGCAAAUAAUAAUGGGAGUCCUUAGACUUCUCUCAAACCCAGACCUACACCUUCCUCUGCCUUUGCCUGCUCUCCCUACCAUUGGUGAGACAGGGCCCUCGGAGCUGGCCCAUCACUUCUCCUGUAAAUAAGCAUUUGCUAAGUGCAUGUCUGGGAGUAGAGUCUUCUCUGCAGGAGAAAAGAGGCUGUAAAAUAAUUAUUGUUCUAUCUAUUUAUAGGAGCACCCCAUUGCCAUGGGAUCCAAGCAUUUCCAGCUACCCUCUGGUUUAACUUGGUUAAUAUUUUCCAGCGUUAAUCCUCUCACAGAUCACAGCUGAGUUGAGUCUCUGCCCUGAGAGCAGCUCUCUGCUAAUAUUCCCACCUCCUGCUGACGUUGGCUCUGGUUCAGACCCCUCUGGAGCAUGGCAUGGAGACAGUGGAGCUCUGGGGAAGGCUGGACCAGCAGGGACAAAAGGAGAAAGAGGAAGCCCCGGAACACUUGGGACUACAGGAGCAAAGAACUGCAGAGAGCUUUUGAGCAAAGGGCACAUCAUGAGCGGCUGGUACGCCAUCUACCCCGUGACUGUAACGCCACGACUGUGUGACAUGGACACGGAUGGCAGAGGAUGGAUUGUGAGUACAAAUCAAGAGUAAAACAGCAUGGCCAAGCACCCUGCAGCAGACCAGGCUACUACUCCUGCUCUAAAUUGGGAUUGGGUUUGAUA
Molecule: long non-coding RNA, 948 nt
Organism: Chelonia mydas (Green sea turtle)
Lineage: Eukaryota; Metazoa; Chordata; Testudines; Cheloniidae
Exons: 4
Source: RefSeq, a predicted model, not a curated record